CAUACCCCCACUUACCAGAACUAUAAGCCAGCCAUAGCAUGAGCUGUUAAUACAUAUUUUUGCACUAUGAAAAUUUCAGAUAGGCAGUAAUAACUAUCACAAAUAAAUAUCUCAUUCUUUGAUUUUCCAAGAUUAUUUGGUAGGAGAGGGAGACUAAGAAAUUAAGUCCAAUUCAUACACAUUGAGGGGAAAGGGAUGUACAGAGAUAAACAAGACAGUCUAUAUGAUUUUUAUGGGAGAUUUGUAACUAUGCUAAUAACCGUAAUUCAAAGCAUUAUUUGGUACAAAUGUUACCAACAUUACAAGUAAUUAGGCACUGAAACAAUUAGAAGGAUAAGAAAGUAUUUACUUUCUAAUGACAUGUUGUUUAAGAUGGGUUUUGGGGAAUAGGAGGAAAAGACGUGGUUGGAGUGUGUCCAUUUUGCCAGAAAUGUAAGAAUUUGAGGAUGAUGCUGUAGUUAAGAUGUUAGGGACAACUUUGUUGAGCAGUAAGUAUAUGGUUGAGAAACUGGUACUUGCCCUGGUAAGCAGUGUGGUGCCAUUGAAACUUUCUGAAGAUGGUAUGAUCUGAUCCAGUUCAACCUUUAAGAACACCUACGUAAAAGGUUCAUAAGCUUUUUGUAUGACCUAUUUCAGAAAACAGAAAAAAAAACAAAAAACAAAAAACCCAAACCUGAGGAAAUGCUAUAGUAAACUGAGGUUGCCGUCUUGUCUUGGAAACAGUCUGUUCAGUCCAGAUAGAGAUUUUCAACCAUACAAAUUUGUUGUCAAAUUUAGAAUAGGAUUUUUAAACAAAAAUCCAUAGAAGAAUCCUAAAGCUCUGGCCUCUACAUUGGCAUGGCAACAAUUGUCUAGAGGUGAGUCGUAGUUUGCUUCUUUUCUGUGGUACCUGUGUGCUGGUUCAUAUCAGUCAUCAUAAGGUCUGGAUGUUUCCUGCUUGGUUCUUGAAGCAUUUAUUAUAACCUAAUGAACAAAAAAAGAAGCGAGAUAUUGAUCUGGUAAAAUGGUACCAUAUUGGAGCUGUCUGUUGUGGUAUUCAUCAUGCUGUCACAUCCCGAGUGCCUUGGAGUUAUUGGAAAGUGGAAUUGAGAGAGUUCUGUCAUUUGGUGUGGCAAUCCAUUCACAGGACAGUCACUACAAUAUUUGCAAUGGUUUGCUUAUUUUUCUAGCCAGGCUACCUUCAUCUUGAGUAACAAGAAGGCCUUCCUAUUAUCCCAUGCAUAGUAGUAUUAAUAGGUCACAUGUAACUGUUCUCUAGCUUGUCUUACUGGCAUAACGACUCUUUUUCUAAGUCAGUGCUCACACUUGCUACCUGUCCCUGCACUCAUGAUGCACUGGGUUCAUUCCUAUGGGACCAGUAUAUCUGAGUGUGGCUUCAAGCCCCUUAUGCUUUUAUCUGAUGGUGGUGAGGAGGUAAAAGAUGAACUUUUAUAUGUAGAAAGCUUUUAGUUUCUUCCCACACUAAAAUAUCAGUUAAUGUUAAAAGAGCUUUCAAAAGUAUAAAAAGAUACUGUCAAUCUUCAAUGACUAGAUUAAAGAGUUUGAAUGAA
This is a long non-coding RNA of Neofelis nebulosa (Clouded leopard), 1550 nucleotides long. RefSeq lists it as uncharacterized. NCBI's taxonomy places the organism in Eukaryota, Metazoa, Chordata, Mammalia, Carnivora, Felidae. The transcript has 2 exons. The record is from RefSeq and is a predicted model, not a curated record.